AAAAACAUAGUUUUGAGAGAUGAAAAAUACAUUCAAAAUUUCCCCUGCCCACUGAAACAUAUUAAUUUAAUGGCCGCAGUACUUUGACUGUGCUAAGGUAGCAUAAUAAAUUGGCUUUUAAUUGAAGUCGAGAAUGAACGGGAUUACAAUCAAUUCCUGUCUCGCUCUAGGUUUUUUGAAAUUACUAAUUAGGUGAAAAUUCCUAAACAAUUAUUUAAUAGACGAGAAGACCCUUAGAGUUUUAAUUAAUUAAGUUGAAUGUAUAAUCUAUGAAUUAUAUAAAUUAUACUUUACUUUAAUAUUUUUGUUGGGGCAACAAAUUAACAAUUUAAGUUAACUUAGUAAUUUGUGAUUAAUUAAUAAUACACUUAAAUAUUACACACCAAAAGUAUUUUAUAGAUGAAUAAGACUACCUAAGGGAUAACAGCAUAAUUUAAGUUUAAGAUUAUGACCUCGAUGUUGGAUUAGGGCCUUAUUUGAUUAACCAUUUAAUAAGAAGUGUUCUGUUCGAACAAUAAUUUCCCUACAUGAUC
This 533-nucleotide ribosomal RNA is filed under the name Helicodiscus barri. RNAcentral's name for it is "partial large subunit ribosomal RNA". The stretch from base 1 to 206 matches the Rfam family "Archaeal large subunit ribosomal RNA", at positions 1901 to 2143 of the family's 2987-position model. Lineage: Eukaryota; Metazoa; Mollusca; Gastropoda; Stylommatophora; Helicodiscidae. The record is from RNAcentral.